RNAcentral lists this ribosomal RNA (699 nucleotides) under uncultured Stenotrophomonas bacterium. RNAcentral describes it as "bacterial SSU rRNA". It matches the Rfam family "Bacterial small subunit ribosomal RNA", at positions 88 to 783 of the family's 1533-position model. Lineage: Bacteria; Pseudomonadati; Pseudomonadota; Gammaproteobacteria; Lysobacterales; Lysobacteraceae. The record is from RNAcentral.
GUGGCGAGUGGCGGACGGGUGAGGAAUACAUCGGAAUCUACUUUUUCGUGGGGGAUAACGUAGGGAAACUUACGCUAAUACCGCAUACGACCUACGGGUGAAAGCAGGGGAUCUUCGGACCUUGCGCGAUUGAAUGAGCCGAUGUCGGAUUAGCUAGUUGGCGGGGUAAAGGCCCACCAAGGCGACGAUCCGUAGCUGGUCUGAGAGGAUGAUCAGCCACACUGGAACUGAGACACGGUCCAGACUCCUACGGGAGGCAGCAGUGGGGAAUAUUGGACAAUGGGCGCAAGCCUGAUCCAGCCAUACCGCGUGGGUGAAGAAGGCCUUCGGGUUGUAAAGCCCUUUUGUUGGGAAAGAAAUCCAGCUGGCUAAUACCCGGUUGGGAUGACGGUACCCAAAGAAUAAGCACCGGCUAACUUCGUGCCAGCAGCCGCGGUAAUACGAAGGGUGCAAGCGUUACUCGGAAUUACUGGGCGUAAAGCGUGCGUAGGUGGUCGUUUAAGUCCGUUGUGAAAGCCCUGGGCUCAACCUGGGAACUGCAGUGGAUACUGGACGACUAGAGUGUGGUAGAGGGUAGCGGAAUUCCUGGUGUAGCAGUGAAAUGCGUAGAGAUCAGGAGGAACAUCCAUGGCGAAGGCAGCUACCUGGACCAACACUGACACUGAGGCACGAAAGCGUGGGGAGCAAACAGGAUUAGAU